GGGAGGUAAUAACAAACGUAAACGUCGUCUAUUGUUUCCCGUAAUUUAACGUUGUUUCAACGACGUCAUAACGGAAUCACCAUUGGAAUUGCUAUGGCCGUCUGGAAAGGGCGGGUUCUUUCAUCAAAGGAAAGGCACGGCAGGAAUCGGCAAAAAACUCAUACAGAAUAUUAACAGAAAUAGAAGUCAUCUUUAAAGAUAUCUUUGUCGUCUUGAUCUAUUAUAAAAGAACCGCCAUUAUCUUGAUCAUUCUAGACCAUACUCACUUAAGUUUCCGUUUUAUUCAAAUUAUCUUCAAUACAGUAGAAAACAACGAGAACAAAUGCGUAAUGAUUUAUUAUUGCAUUAGAAUGCAAAUUGUAAUUAAUUCUUUACCAAACUUAUCCGAGAUUUUGUCAUUCAGGAUAGAAAACUCAAAGUUUGGUUUUACUUAAGAAAGAUGAAAAAAAAACUGGUUUCUUGAGAAAAAUAAGAUACGGCGUAAACUAAC
RNAcentral lists this long non-coding RNA (490 nucleotides) under Mytilus galloprovincialis (Mediterranean mussel). The record is from RNAcentral. Lineage: Eukaryota; Metazoa; Mollusca; Bivalvia; Mytilida; Mytilidae.